This 22-nucleotide non-coding RNA is filed under the name Arabidopsis thaliana (thale cress). Lineage: Eukaryota; Viridiplantae; Streptophyta; Magnoliopsida; Brassicales; Brassicaceae. The record is from RNAcentral.
UGCAGUGAUAUGUGUGCAAUGU